This 1461-nucleotide ribosomal RNA is filed under the name Plasmodium knowlesi strain H. Its description in RNAcentral is "SSU rRNA". It matches the Rfam family "Eukaryotic small subunit ribosomal RNA", at positions 3 to 1338 of the family's 1831-position model. Lineage: Eukaryota; Apicomplexa; Aconoidasida; Haemosporida; Plasmodiidae. The record is from RNAcentral.
CCUGGUUGAUCUUGCCAGUAGUCAUAUGCUUGUCUCAAAGAUUAAGCCAUGCAAGUGAAAGUAUAUGCAUAUUUUAUAUGUAGAAACUGCGAACGGCUCAUUAAAACAGUUAUAAUCUACUUGACAUUUUCUAUAUAAGGAUAACUACGGAAAAGCUGUAGCUAAUACUUGCUUUAGCACUCUUGAUUUAUUUCUUGAGUGUGUACUUGUUAAGCCUUAUAAGAAAAGAGUUAUUAACUUAAGGAAUUAUAACAAAGAAGUAACACGUAAUGGAUCAUUCCAUUUUUAGUGUGUAUCAAUCGAGUUUCUGACCUAUCAGCUUUUGAUGUUAGGGUAUUGGCCUAACAUGGCUAUGACGGGUAACGGGGAAUUAGAGUUCGAUUCCGGAGAGGGAGCCUGAGAAAUAGCUACCACAUCUAAGGAAGGCAGCAGGCGCGUAAAUUACCCAAUUCUAAAGAAGAGAGGUAGUGACAAGAAAUAACAAUACAAGGCCAAUCUGGCUUUGUAAUUGGAAUGAUGGGAAUUUAAAACCUUCCCAAAAUUCAAUUGGAGGGCAAGUCUGGUGCCAGCAGCCGCGGUAAUUCCAGCUCCAAUAGCGUAUAUUAAAAUUGUUGCAGUUAAAACGCUCGUAGUUGAAUUUCAAAGAAUCGAUAUUUUAAGUAACGCUUCUAGCUAUAAUCCACAUAACUGAUGCCUCCGCGUAUCGACUUUGUGCGCAUUUUAGCUAUUAUGUGUUCUUUUAAUUAAAAUGAUUCUUUUUAAGAUUCAUCUAUUAAAAAUUUGCCUCGGCAUAAUUUUUUUUGAUGAUCUUGUUACUUUGAGUAAAUUAGAGUGUUCAAAGCAAACAGAUAUAGCAUUUGUGCGUUUGAAUACUACAGCAUGGAAUAACAAAAUUGAACAAGUCAGAAUUUUUUUGUUCUUUUUUCUUAUUUUGGCUUAGUUACGAUUAAUAGGAGUAGCUUGGGGGCAUUUGUAUUCAGAUGUCAGAGGUGAAAUUCUUAGAUUUUCUGGAGACAAACAACUGCGAAAGCAUUUGCCUAAAAUACUUCCAUUAAUCAAGAACGAAAGUUAAGGGAGUGAAGACGAUCAGAUACCGUCGUAAUCUUAACCAUAAACUAUGCCGACUAGGCUUUGGAUGAAAGAUUUUAAAAUAAGAGUUUUUCUUUUCUCUCCGGAGAUUAGAACUCUUAGAUUGCUUCCUUCAGUGCCUUAUGAGAAAUCAAAGUCUUUGGGUUCUGGGGCGAGUAUUCGCGCAAGCGAGAAAGUUAAAAGAAUUGACGGAAGGGCACCACCAGGCGUGGAGCUUGCGGCUUAAUUUGACUCAACACGGGAAAACUCACUAGUUUAAGACAAGAGUAGGAUUGACAGAUUAAUAGCUCUUUCUUGAUUUCUUGGAUGGUGAUGCAUGGCCGUUUUUAGUUCGUGAAUAUGAUUUGUCUGGUUAAUUCCGAUAACGAACGA